RNAcentral lists this ribosomal RNA (866 nucleotides) under uncultured archaeon. Its description in RNAcentral is "bacterial SSU rRNA". It matches the Rfam family "Archaeal small subunit ribosomal RNA", at positions 1 to 878 of the family's 1478-position model. The record is from RNAcentral.
CCGGUUCCCUAGAGGGACCCCACUGCAAUCAGAGGUGGAGUAAAGCCAUUUUAGUCGACGUACCAAUGCGCGGCGAACGGCUCAGUAACACGUAGUCAACAUGCCCAGGGGACGUGGAUAACCUCGGGAAACUGAGAAUAAACCACGAUAGGUCACGAUUUCUGGAAUGGAUCAUGGCCUAAAUCUACAUGGCCCCUGGAUUGGACUGCGGCCGAUCAGGCUGUUGGUGAGGUAAUGGCCCACCAAACCUAUAACCGGUACGGGCUCUGAGAGGAGAAGCCCGGAGAUGGGCACUGAGACAAGGGCCCAGGCCCUAUGGGGCGCAGCAGGCGCGAAACCUUAGCAAUGCGCGAAAGCGUGACGAGGUUAAUCCGAGUGGUCCCCGCUUAGGGGAUCUUUUGUCGGCUGUAAAAAGGCCGGUGAAUAAGGGGAGGGCAAGUCUGGUGUCAGCCGCCGCGGUAAUACCAGCUCCUCGAGUGGUCGGGGCGAUUAUUGGGCCUAAAGCAUCCGUAGCCUGUUCCGUAGGUCCCCUGUUAAAUCCAACGGCUUAACCGUUGGCAUGCAGAGGAUACCGCGGGACUAGGAGGCGGGAGAGGCGGGCGGUACUCCACGUGUAGGGGUAAAAUCCUUUGAUCCGUGGAAGACCACCAGUGGCGAAGGCGGCCCGCCAGAACGCGCUCGACGGUGAGGGAUGAAAGCUGGGGGAGCGAACCGGAUUAGAUACCCGGGUAGUCCCAGCCGUAAACGAUGCGAGCUAGAUGAUCCAAUCGCAAAUCGCGAUUGGAGUGUCGCAGGGAAGCCGUUAAGCUCAAAACGCCCUGAGUACGCUCGCANGACUGAAACUUAAACCAUCAGGCGGGGGAGCA